CAGGUAAGGAACCGUCUAGAAACUGAAUCUCAAGAAUUCUUUAUCAUAGGAGAUAGCUUUCCCCAGGGCCCCGACUUUCCGGGUGGAAAAAAGUUCUGAUUAUUGGCCCGGGAACAUCGCGGGGCAGGGUGCCCAUUUCCAAGGCUCAGACCUGGUUGGAAAGCAAAGUUUUCCAGGAGGCCAUUCCUUCCAGCUCCCUUCCCGGUCCCGACCAGGUACUCAGCCCCUCACUCGGAGCCCGGCCCACUGGCCCAGCCCCCCAUUUCCGGAGUCUGCGCCCCGGGACCUGGCCGGGACUGGUCCCGGGGGAGGCCUAGUUCUCUCUUCUUUCCCGCCCCUGCCUUACCUCCACCCGUCGCCACGACCACCCAGAGUCCGGGGCUCAGAAGAGAGGAGAGCACCCACCUGGUCGGAGUCACAUGCUGCCCCGGGCUGGCCCGAGAGUCCCCUCCAGGUCCGGGCGCCCGCCGCGGUCCCCAGCCAGGCCAGGCCGCCCCGGCGCCCCACCCGCGGCCCGCCCCUGCCGCCGGACGGGAGGGAGGGACCGGCUUCUCCCAAGGAAGUUUCAGGAAUGCUGUGGCCCACAACUGCAAUCAGCUUUUGUGGGUAGACUGUCCCCUGAUCCCUGUGUCCACCGCUGCUGCACUGGCCCUGGCAGAAGAGGCUAAGCAGUUGUUUGGAAGGCCCUGCAGAAUCAAACAUGACCAAGGGAGAAAGGUCUCCUCUCUGAUAGUCCUGAAGCAAUGCAGUGUUCAAAAAAUGCCCUAGUUCCGUCAUGCUCUUUUGAAGGAUUAAACUUUAAAGAGUUUAGCUAGCUUAGACACACUCAUAAUUGCAAUGAAGUAUACAGGAAAUAAUAAGAAAUGCCAAGUCUAGGAUUCGGCCAUAUAAGGGCAGGCCAGCAUGCUUCAUAAACCCAGCAAGGGCAUAAGAACAAGGAGUGAAGAGAAUCCGAAAAUUAAAGCUGGUCAAAAAGUUCCUUCUAGACUGGGAGAGAAACCCUAAGGACUCAGAAAGUCCUGAUCUCUAGUGGGUGAACACAUUUUGUGAAUCUCUGCUGCAGAAGUUGCUGGUGUCUGACAGCACUCCUGCUUGGGCACAGCCAGUGUGGACAGGGAGCUGGGCAUUCUCAUUGCUGCCCUUGGCUCUCCUCAGUGAAAGCUCACUUUCCGUUUUCUCUUCAUCUGGCUCUCACAGCCUGACCUCCCUGUGUGUGCUGAUUCUGAGCUGGCAACAUUGUUGCUCUUUAAGUCUCUACCCUCUUUGCUCUGAUCUCCAGCUCUUUUCACUAGUUAAACAGGGAAAUAAAUGUACGCCAGGCUUUCCCA
Molecule: long non-coding RNA, 1328 nt
Filed under: Mus spicilegus (steppe mouse)
Lineage: Eukaryota; Metazoa; Chordata; Mammalia; Rodentia; Muridae
Description: lncRNA (ENSMSIG00000012454.1)
Source: RNAcentral